GGGAGAUUUCUUCCUUUUUUUUUUGAACCUAGGGAGAUUUCAUUCUUCGUGGUCGUAGCCACUACAAAAUGACAUGCAUCCAGCUGCACUGCAUGCACCGCCUAAAAUUUCUUCACAGCACAGGCAACAAUAGCGUGGAAACGUGUUUUUCUAACAAGGCCUUGUUUAGUUCCCAAAAAAUUUUGCAAAAUUUUUCAGAUUCACCGUCACAUCGAAUCUUUAGACGCAUG
This 230-nucleotide long non-coding RNA is filed under the name Sorghum bicolor (sorghum). RNAcentral describes it as "long non-coding RNA (SBIC_LNC001743)". The record is from RNAcentral. Lineage: Eukaryota; Viridiplantae; Streptophyta; Magnoliopsida; Poales; Poaceae.